Molecule: transfer RNA, 87 nt
Filed under: Amycolatopsis sp.
Lineage: Bacteria; Bacillati; Actinomycetota; Actinomycetes; Pseudonocardiales; Pseudonocardiaceae
Also listed under: 3 other names
Description: tRNA-Ser
Rfam family: tRNA
About the family: Transfer RNA (tRNA) molecules are approximately 80 nucleotides in length.
Source: RNAcentral
GGAAGCGUGGCAGAGCGGCCGAAUGCAGACGCCUUGAAAGCGUCCGUAGGGUGAAACCUACCGGGGGUUCAAAUCCCUCCGCUUCCG